GGGAUUGCCCUAGUAACGGCGAGUGAAGCGGCAAUAGCUCAAAUUUGAAAUCUGGCUUCCUUGGAAGUCCGAGUUGUAAUUUGCAGAGGGCGCUUUGGCGUCGGUAGCGGUCUAAGUUCCUUGGAACAGGACGUCACAGAGGGUGAGAAUCCCGUACGUGGUCGACUACCUUCACCGUGUAAAGCCCCUUCGACGAGUCGAGUUGUUUGGGAAUGCAGCUCUAAAUGGGAGGUAAAUUUCUUCUAAAGCUAAAUACUGGCCAGAGACCGAUAGCGCACAAGUAGAGUGAUCGAAAGAUGAAAAGCACUUUGGAAAGAGAGUCAAACAGCACGUGAAAUUGUUGAAAGGGAAGCGCUUGCCGCCAGACGUGCCCGUGGUGGUUCUCCUCCGCGGGCAGGCCAGCAUCAGUUUGGGCGAUCGGAUAAAGGCCUCUGUCAUGUAUCUCCCUUCGGGGUGACCUUAUAGGGGAGGCGUAAUGCGAUCAGCCCGGACUGAGGUCCGCGCAUCUGCUAGGAUGCUGGCGUAAUGGCUGUAAGCGGCCCGUCUUGAAACACGGACCAAGGAGUCUAACAUCUAUGCGAGUGUUUGGGUGUCAAGCCCGAGCGCGUAAUGAAAGUGAACGGAGGUGGGAACCCUUUGGGUGCACCAUCGACCGAUCCUGAAGUCUUCGGAUGGAUUUGAGUAAGAGCAUGGCUGUUGGGACCCGAAAGAUGGUGAACUAUGCUUGAAUAGGGUGAAGCCAGAGGAAACUCUGGUGGAGGCUCGCAGCGGUUCUGACGUGCAAAUCGAUCGUCAAAUUUGGGCAUAGGGGCGAAAGACUAAUCGAACUAUCUA
This 834-nucleotide ribosomal RNA is filed under the name Dictyosporium digitatum. RNAcentral describes it as "partial large subunit ribosomal RNA". It matches the Rfam family "Eukaryotic large subunit ribosomal RNA", at positions 71 to 946 of the family's 3401-position model. Lineage: Eukaryota; Fungi; Ascomycota; Dothideomycetes; Pleosporales; Dictyosporiaceae. The record is from RNAcentral.